RNAcentral lists this ribosomal RNA (402 nucleotides) under Bacteroidota bacterium. RNAcentral's name for it is "Bacteroidetes bacterium partial 16S ribosomal RNA". It matches the Rfam family "Bacterial small subunit ribosomal RNA", at positions 355 to 776 of the family's 1533-position model. The record is from RNAcentral. Lineage: Bacteria; Pseudomonadati; Bacteroidota.
UGGGGAAUUUUGCACAAUGGGGGAAACCCUGAUGCAGCGACGCCGCGUGAUUUAGAAGGCCUUCGGGUUGUAAAAAUCUUUUGUAUAGGAAGAAAAUGACAGUACUAUACGAAUAAGGACCGGCUAAUUACGUGCCAGCAGCCGCGGUAAUACGUAAGGUCCGAGCGUUGUCCGGAAUCAUUGGGCGUAAAGGGUACGUAGGCGGGUAAGCAAGUUAGAAGUGAAAUCCUAUAGCUCAACUAUAGUAAGCUUUUAAAACUGCUCAUCUUGAGGUAUGGAAGGGAAAGUGGAAGUCCUAUGGUAACGGUGAAAUGCGCAGUUAUUAGGAGGAAUACCGGUGGCGAAGGCGACUUUCUGGACAUAACCUGACGCUGGGGUACGAAAGCGUGGGUAGCAAACAGG